Long non-coding RNA from Chelonia mydas (Green sea turtle), 528 nucleotides. RefSeq lists it as uncharacterized. The transcript has 2 exons. Lineage: Eukaryota; Metazoa; Chordata; Testudines; Cheloniidae. The record is from RefSeq and is a predicted model, not a curated record.
GACACAUUUCUGUUUGUUUAGGGCCUGAUUUUCAGACACGCUGAACAGCCUCAGUUCCACAGAGGUCAGUAGGAUCUGUCUGGGUGACACCUCUGUAAACCAUUUACAAAUGAUUUACAGGACCAUUAUUUGUGAAGAUAAAGUAAGAGGAUUAACCAACCAAAAGAGAAGCAUACAUUUCCCUAGUAUGAGGAGCUGGACCCAAACACACAAAUGUUCUCAAGAUUCCUUUCACCUAGGCAUAUUAGUUGGAGGAAAUGAAUGAUCCUCAGGGACAGUUCCUCAGAAGAAAGGAAGUGUUUGAUGAAUGAGGAUACAGAGGUCUCAAAGUAGCUGUGUCAUGCCUCAGCAAGGACUUCCACAAAGAAGACUGAUGGUAGUUACUUACUGCCUUUACAGAUGUGGGAGGAUAUUCAGGCAUCUGUGGGACACUGUGCUCUUAAAAAAAAAAAAAAAAAAAAAAAAAAAUUCUACAGCUUCAUCUGAAGCAAUUGGAGUAAACCAGAUGUAAUAUAUUCUAUUUAAAUG